This is a non-coding RNA of Schizosaccharomyces pombe (fission yeast), 373 nucleotides long. The record is from the annotation of a GenBank genome assembly. Lineage: Eukaryota; Fungi; Ascomycota; Schizosaccharomycetes; Schizosaccharomycetales; Schizosaccharomycetaceae.
ACCUUCAUAGUAGAAGGAUUUAAUGGAAGGUAUAACAUGUAACAUAACAAUGGGUUUUAACCGGUCGAUAACCAAAAUAACAUAAUAAGAGAAUAAAGCUAAAGGCAACUAAAAAAGUAGACAAAGUCGAUUAUUUUUUUCAAGCAAACGAUAACUUAAUUUUUAUGAAUGGAAAGGUUUUCGAAAGCAGGAAGAGAUUCUUCCUUGAUGCCGGCAAAGAAAACAUCAGGAGUCGUACAAGCACCAAGAGCCCGACGCAUAUGCGAAUUACAGAAUGUAAGGCCGACUUCGUAACUGGCAUUAACCCAUCCAAAACCUUCGCGAGCAACGCCUUUGAUAUUGACACCCUGAUUACCAUACUCAGCUUCAACAC